Molecule: ribosomal RNA, 830 nt
Filed under: Arthrobacter globiformis
Lineage: Bacteria; Bacillati; Actinomycetota; Actinomycetes; Micrococcales; Micrococcaceae
Description: bacterial SSU rRNA
Rfam family: Bacterial small subunit ribosomal RNA
Source: RNAcentral
ACGCUGGCGGCGUGCUUAACACAUGCAAGUCGAACGAUGAUCCGGUGCUUGCACCGGGGAUUAGUGGCGAACGGGUGAGUAACACGUGAGUAACCUGCCCUUGACUCUGGGAUAAGCCUGGGAAACUGGGUCUAAUACCGGAUAUGACCUUCCAUCGCAUGGUGGUUGGUGGAAAGCUUUUGUGGUUUUGGAUGGACUCGCGGCCUAUCAGCUUGUUGGUGGGGUAAUGGCCUACCAAGGCGACGACGGGUAGCCGGCCUGAGAGGGUGACCGGCCACACUGGGACUGAGACACGGCCCAGACUCCUACGGGAGGCAGCAGUGGGGAAUAUUGCACAAUGGGCGCAAGCCUGAUGCAGCGACGCCGCGUGAGGGAUGACGGCCUUCGGGUUGUAAACCUCUUUCAGUAGGGAAGAAGCGAAAGUGACGGUACCUGCAGAAGAAGCGCCGGCUAACUACGUGCCAGCAGCCGCGGUAAUACGUAGGGCGCAAGCGUUAUCCGGAAUUAUUGGGCGUAAAGAGCUCGUAGGCGGUUUGUCGCGUCUGCCGUGAAAGUCCGGGGCUCAACUCCGGAUCUGCGGUGGGUACGGGCAGACUAGAGUGAUGUAGGGGAGACUGGAAUUCCUGGUGUAGCGGUGAAAUGCGCAGAUAUCAGGAGGAACACCGAUGGCGAAGGCAGGUCUCUGGGCAUUAACUGACGCUGAGGAGCGAAAGCAUGGGGAGCGAACAGGAUUAGAUACCCUGGUAGUCCAUGCCGUAAACGUUGGGCAGUAGGUGUGGGGGACAUUCCACGUUUUCCGCGCCGUAGCUAACGCAUUAAGUGCCCCGCCU